This 468-nucleotide ribosomal RNA is filed under the name uncultured bacterium. RNAcentral's name for it is "partial 16S ribosomal RNA". It matches the Rfam family "Bacterial small subunit ribosomal RNA", at positions 28 to 507 of the family's 1533-position model. The record is from RNAcentral.
GACGAACGCUGGCGGCGUGCUUAACACAUGCAAGUCGAACGGAAAGGCCCUGCUUUUGUGGGGUGCUCGAGUGGCGAACGGGUGAGUAACACGUGAGUAACCUGCCCUUGACUUUGGGAUAACUUCAGGAAACUGGGGCUAAUACCGGAUAGGAGCUCCUGCUGCAUGGUGGGGGUUGGAAAGUUUCGGCGGAUGGGGAUGGACUCGCGGCUUAUCAGCUUGUUGGUGGGGGAGUGGCUUACCAAGGCUUGGACGGGUAGCCGGCCUGGGAGGGUGACCGGCGACAUUGGGACUGAGAUACGGCCCAGACGCCUACGGGAGGCAGCAGUGGGGAAUAUUGCACAAUGGGCGGAAGCCUGAUACAGCAACCCCGCGUGCGGGAUGACGGCCUUCGGGUUGUAAACCGCUGUCGCCUGUGACGAAGCGUGAGUGACGGUAAUGGGUAAAGAAGCACCGGCUAACUACGUG